GUAAAAUGUAUGAUUUGUGCAGGGGUGGCCUUUGCUUUUCAAAACUGAAGCAAGCAACCAAGAGUGCCAAACAUGAAUUGGGAACCCAAAGCAACUCGUACCUCUGGACUAAACAGACUCCUUUCUCAGCUUGAAUGGUUGAUGUAAUUUCUGCAGUUCAGACUUGCAAACAUCCGUUCGGUCUUGUGCGCUGCAAUCGGCUUUGAGAGAAGGGAAACAAGUGCAUUGUAACAUAGUUAAAAAUGGGUUUAAGUCUGAUGUAUUUGUUCAGAGCUCUUUGGUGAGUAUGUAUACACAGAAUGGUGAAACUUUGAAUUCAGAGCUUGUUUUUAACGAAAUGGUUGUGAGGAACAUAGUUUCCUAGACCGCGAUGAUAGCAGGAUAUGUGAAAAAUGGGUUGUAUAGAGAAGGGUUGAGUGUUUUCGAGACUUGGUGGCUUCAGGUUCCCAACCAAAUGUGGUUACACUGGUCAGCAUCCUCCCUGCUUGUGCUAGUUUAGAAUUUUUGGAUUUAGGAAAACUGAUUCACUGUCAUGGAAUUAAAGUUGGAGUUGACUCAGAUAUGUCAUUCAUGAAUGCUUUGAUUGCAUUUUAUGGUAAGUGUCGGAAUCUUGAGACAGCAAGAUCUUUAUUUGAUGGGAUGGCAGUAAGAAACCUGGUCUCGUGGAAUGCAAUGAUUGCUGCUUAUGAACAGAAUAAUGCAGGGACGGAGGCAAUAAAGCUCUUUCGUAGGAUGCAAAAUGAAAAUGUGGACUAUGACUAUAUCACAAUAGUCAGUGUAAUUUCAGCCUGUGCUAGCUUGGGUGCAUUGAACACUGGGAAAUGGUUGCAUGAGCUUGUCAAAAGGAAAGGCUUUGGAACCAAUGUUUCAGUCACAAAGGCACUCAUUGACAUGUAUGCAAAGUGUGGGAAUAUUGAUCUGGCCAAGAAUGUUUUUCAGAAAUUGCCUCAUAGAAGUGUUGUGUCCUGGACAUCUAUAAUAGGGGCUUGUGCAUCUCAUGGUCAUGGAGAUGAUGCUCUCAUGCUUUUCUCAAUGAGGAAAGACCAGGGCAUUAAGCCAAAUAGUUUCACUUUUACCGCUGUUUUGACCGCUUGUAGGCACUCAGGUCUAGUAGAUGAAGGAAGAAAGCAUUUUGAGAGCAUGAUUAAAGACUACUCCCUUGUCCCUGGUGUAGAGCACUAUGCUUGUGUAGUUGAUCUUCUUGGUCGAGCUGGUUGUUUGUUAGAAGCUUAUAAGUUUAUUCAGAGGAUGCCGGUUGAGCCAGACAUUGGUGUCUGGGGAGCUUUACUUAGUGCUUGCAGGAUAUAAGGCAAUGAUGAGCUAGCUGAACUUGUGGCAGCUCAUUUGUCCAAGUUAGAUCCUCAAACUACUACCCUCUAUUUUCUCAUGUUAAUUAUAUAUGCGGAAGCUGGUAGAUGGGAAGACGAAGCUAGGUUGAGAAACUUGAUGACUGAUUUGACAGAAGGAGUUGAAAAAAUUACCAGGGCAAAGUUUUGUUGAGGUGAAUCAAAGUUUGUUUACAUGUUUAUCAGGUUCAAGAUCCCAACUAGAAUUCCCACCAAUGCUGGCCUCAUGCUAAAUACUCCUCUGGCCUCUAUCUUCCUGAUUCCUCUUUGCAUCAGUUUCAUUAGCUACAUCUGCCAUUCUUACUCAAAGCUCACUAGUAUGAUCUGCUAGAUAUGGAUAAUGAUAUUUGUGAGACCCGGCCUAGGACACCAUGACAUAAUGCAUGACUCUAUAAGAGCCUUGCUGUCUCAGGCAUGCCACUGAGUGGCAGUGGUGGUGGCUUUCACUGUUGGGUUUAUUGAGAUCAAACCAGGCGAACAAACCUUACUGUCUCGGGCUUAACACAGAUCGAGUGGCAGUAGUGUGGCUUUUCGCUGUUGGGUUUCCUUGGGAUUAAACCAGAUGUGGAUUUGCCGUGGGCUGAGGUGAACUCUUCACCUUAACUGUGCAUAUUGCAUACUGGGCUGAACAAGACCAGACGAGGCAGCUUUGUUUCAAAAUCUACACCCAUGCGAUCUAUGUUUGUAAGCUACUGAAAAAGUUGCCAUCAGAUUUGAAGUUAAUAUUUGGUCCUCCCCUUCUGAAAAAAGCUGGUUUUGCAUGGUCUUACAUGAAGCUUUUUGCAAUUAACUUGUUGAAAGAAGCAGUCAAAGGAUGUCAACAAGUCUUGUGUAGGCUUAGUUUUGUAUCUUGGUUUGUUACACAUCGAAUUUUGGUUUCGGAUUACAGUUGCAAUGGUGGAAUAAUUGAUCAUGUUAUUUUACCUUUGAUGCAGACCAAGUCGGAUGGUCCAAUUUUUGUGCUGCAUGGGUUACGCGUCUGAUUUGAUACGUUCUUUCAGUACAUCAUAAGGGCGGCAAUUCCAGGCUCCUAUGCGAACUGAAAUGCCUGAUGUCAUGUGAAAUAUUGUAUGAAAUACAUUAUUUGUACUAUUAUGGAUAUCUUUAUCAUCAAAACCAAGAACAAUCACUUUUUUCUUGUUUUGGCAAUUAGCCCAGAUAUAAGAACUGAUUCUUGGUGAA
Rosa chinensis is the source of this 2528-nucleotide long non-coding RNA. RefSeq lists it as uncharacterized. The record is from RefSeq and is a predicted model, not a curated record. Lineage: Eukaryota; Viridiplantae; Streptophyta; Magnoliopsida; Rosales; Rosaceae. The transcript is spliced from 5 exons.